AUGGCAUGUUGACGACAAUCUUCACAAAGUUUCUUGAAUCUUUCCCACACUUAAUAAAAAUUCUCAUCUUUGUGUUGUCGAAAGUUUGUAAUCCUUUCUCUCCCCUU
This is a non-coding RNA of Corchorus olitorius, 107 nucleotides long. The record is from Rfam. NCBI's taxonomy places the organism in Eukaryota, Viridiplantae, Streptophyta, Magnoliopsida, Malvales, Malvaceae.